CCUUCAUUUUGCAGCUGGGGCUCACUGCCCCUUAGGGGGCAGGGAGCCAGUGAUUCCUGAGGGAGCCAGCAGCCGAGACCCGUGCCCUGCCAGGCAUGUAUGCACGUCUCUUUAAUAUUUUCUGUCUUUUGGGGGAAGGGGCUUCCUGGAGGAGUGGAGGUUACACAGCCAUAACCAGCUGCUAUCCCUGUCUCUAUGUGUGAACAAGGGUGGCUUUAAUACCUGUCACCUGGUGUGACGAGGGCCACUAUGGCACCCUUGAUAGGGGCUAGAGGCUUGCAUAGGGUCAGGGAGGACAUUUCCCCUUUGAGGAGGUGGGUGGUCUUGGAACCCUGGCUGUAGCUGGUUCCCACUUCUGUAAGAUCAGGGCAGCAAAGUCCCCGUCUUGACAGAUGAAAUAGACAGGUGGGCAGUCCUUCCCACACGCAAAGGUAACUUUUCUUAGGAGGGCUUCCUUCUCUGGAUCAAUUUGAAAGCCCCUUUCAUCAUUUUGGAAUUAAGAUGUAAACCUAGGAAAGGGUCAAACAGGAAGGCAGUGUUGAGCUCCCCUGGGUUGUUUUCUGGAGGCAACAUCGCCUCUUGCUGGUGUUUUCCUGCAUUUACACAGGCUUCUUCAGGCUAUCUGUUUCCACAGGGAAGCAACCCCCGGCUGCAGGCUAAGUGUAGGGAGUUUAUUCUUAAUAAUGCUUUUUUGUUUGUUUCUUAUUUGUCAUAAAAAUAUUUUGCAUUUGUGAGAUGCAAAAUGAAACAGGCAAAUUUCCUUGCCUGUUAAUCUAAGGUACUCACAGGUACUGAGCCCACCUCACAAAUCCUAUGGGCAAAACAGCAAGACCUCUAGUGUGACAGGGUUGAUUAGGGGCUGGCCAUGAAGGCAGAAGACUAUUUAACUCGCCUCAAAUUGUUUUUUUCUCCGUUCUGCCUAAAAUCACGGUGGGAAACUGGUCUUCAUUUCCUCAGAUGAAAAGGUGGCUUUGCAAGGACAAAGGUGGAUAAGGUUUCAGAGUGCUGGGUUUAGAGAGGGUUAAUCUUUUCUGUUUUGGGGGGUCUCUGAGCCUCCAGCGUUUCUCUGAAGAUGUGGGUGUAAUUACAUUAUCUUUGUCACACACUUAGCACUGUGUUCUGAGAAUCUGACAGCCCGUGACAGCUGCAGGGGCCUCACUAGCUGGCUGGGGCUGAAGCUUAAUCUGCAAGCAAGACUCCGGUUACCUUGGAAAGGAAAGAAGGGGUCUCCCGAGGAGUUCAGGGUACCAUGGGCUACCUGAACAGGUUAGCUACACUAACUCGGGACCACCUGGGUUAGACUCUGAAGGUACUUGGCAAGCGAGUACUGCUCGAGAGUCAAACUGUCAGCGCCCGCAGCAAGUCCCCAGCUCUUUGCCAGCAAGCAGUCUCCACUGUUGACACACUCCGACUGCUGUGUCUGCGUUUCUCCAGAGGCCCGUGUCCCCUUUGCCAACAUCUAUCUCAAGUCACAUUCCCCUGGAGUUCUCAUUCCAUACAGCUAAUCCCCUAGAACACGGGCCAGCGCAUUAGCUUUCUUGGCCUCCUAAGGACCAAAAAGGAAAAUGCUACCCCCUGUGGGUACAUUGCAGUCACUGAGGGUGGGAGAAUGAUUAUGCUGGUGAAAUCAUAGCCUCAGGCUCACACCUGCUGGCUACAUGUCACUGACAGGCUGCACGGGGCUAAAGUUUCAGUGUUGGAGCGCAUAAAAUAAAAAUUAAAGAAAAAAUAAAACAAAAAGGAAGGGAAAAAGAUAAGAGUCCCUGCGUGCAGAACUUGCUUUGGGCACCUGUAACUGACUUGUAAUCUGUCAGUUAAAAUGCUCCUUGCAUUUGUUUUCUGUUUGUAAAAGCCAAAAAAAAAACCAAAAAACAAAAAACAAAAAAAACCCUACAGAAAAGCUAUUACACAAAAUAUUUAUUGUAAUUACACAGGAAAUGCACUGCUAAUUAAUAUAGUGGCAGCAAAAAUCAAAGAGCACAAAGCACUUAACCCCUCCCUUAACCCCCUCCUUCAGUUAGGGGCCAUAGUCCUCUUAGGUGCCUGCACUGUUUUUUUUUUUUUUUGUAUAUUUGCAUAUAUCUGUAAAGACACCCGCAGAGAGUUCCUUGUGUACAGGGGCUAUUUUAGAGCUCUCGUUUUUUCCUUUUGCAUUUUGUAUCAGCUUGUUUUUCUUCCCUCCAGAAUGUGCUUGGCAAUACCAAACAUCCAUAGCCUUAUGACACCCAGUACCUUAGAUUCCCGAACAAACGGCGCACACACACCGGAGCUGAUUUAACCGUCUCAUUGCCACCCUGAAAUCUGGGGUCCUUUAUCUUGGCAGGUCAAACCCUGCUGUGUUUCCUGAGUCUGACCUCUGAGAUCUCUCUGGGCAGAGGGCUGUGUCGCAUGCUGUGGGGGCUGAGCCUUAUCCAGUAGCUGCUGGAAGAAGAAGCAAAUGCCUUUCCACAGUAGUGAGAUUGGUGACUACCUUAUAUCCAGUAGCUUCUGGAAGCAGAAGGGAAGGCCCUUCCCUUGUAAUCAGAUGAUGACUACUGUAUAUACCUUCCUGGAGCCUUCAUCCAGUAGCUGCUGGAAAAACUGAGUGACCGUCCCUGGUAAUGAGAUUGAUGCCUACCUUAUAUGCCAUCUUAGAGCCUUCAUCCAGGAGCCACAGGAAACAAAAUGGAAUGCACUUCCCAUAUAAUACGAUUGACACCUACCUUAAUGCCAUCCUAGAGCCUUCAUCCAGUAGAUUGUAGAGGCAAAAGGAAAUGCCCUUUCCCUAUGACAGAAUUGAUGGCUACAUUAUAUGCCAUGACACAGCCUUCAUCCUGUAGCUGAUAGUAGCAGAAGGGAAUGCCCUUCCCUUAUAAUGAAUUUGAUGAGUUACUAUAGAGGAUUACAAAGUGUAGUCAGAAAUAGAUUGAUCACCACUAGUUUAUUUGGGAAAAAUAUUCAAGCCAGAGUGCAACACGCCGGCUUUCACCUGAGCAGGAAGGACCCAUAAAUGCUACUCAGUCAGCUCAGCCUGGUGAAAGAGAGCCUUGUGCACGCCUGUUUCUUCCUGAAACCCUUGUUAGGUAACUAUGUGUGUGUGGUCAUUGUUACCUGUGACCUUCGGGAAGUGGACUUGGUGUUACCUCUAAUCCUGGUUUCUCCUUAAAAUUCACCAUUUGAUCUAAAGACGAUUUAAAUUGAACAGUGUAAAAUCUCUAUAGUUACCAAACAUAAAGGUGAAUUACAUAAAGAUAUAAUGGUUUUUUUUUUUUUUUUUUGGUUUUUUGAGUCAAGGAUAAUAAUCCCUUAAAUGCUUCCCAGUCAGGUCAGCCAGGUGAAAAAGAGCCCUGUGCGUGCCUCUAUCUUCCUGAAACCCUUGUAAGGUAACUCUGACCACGGUCAUGUUGGUGUUAUCAUUGGUACCGGUGACCUUCGGAAAGUGGAUUUAGUCAGUCGUACCUCUAAUACUGGCCUCUACUUAAAAUUCUCCUUUUGGUCUACAUAGGAUUUAAAUUUAACAGUGGAAGUUACCUAUAAUUACCAAUCAUAAAGUUAAAUUACAUGAAAAAAAAUUUUUUUUUGAACAUCGUUAAUAAUCCCUUAAAUGCUUCCCCAUCGGAUCAGCCAGGUGAAAGACAGCCUUGUGCAUGACUCUUUCUAACUAAAACCCAUAUUAGGUAACUCUGACCACGCCCAUGUUGGUGUGGUCAUUGUUACCUGUGACCUUCGGGAAGUUGACUUAGUCAGUCCUACCACUAAUCCUGGUCUCUGCUUAAAAUUCCCCUUUUGGUCUAAAUGGGAUUUAAAUUUACCAGUGGAAGUUACCUAUAAUUACCAAUCAUAAAGUUAAAUUACAUGAAAAAAAAUUUUUUUUUGUUUUUUUUGAACAUCGUUAAUAAUCCCUUAAAUGCUUCCCCAUCGGAUCAGCCAGGUGAAAAAGAGCCCUGUGCAUGACUCUUUCUCCCUAAAACACUUAUUAGGUAACUCUGACCACGCCCAUGUGGGUGUGGUCAUUGUUACCUGUGACCUUCGGGCAGUGGACAUAGUCAGUCCUACCUCUAAUCCUGGUCUCUGCUUAAAAUUCCCCUUUUGGUAUAAAGAGGAUUUAAAUUUAACAGUGGAUGUUAUCUAUAAUUACCAAUCAUAAAGUUAAAUUACAUGAAAAAAAAUUUUUUUUUGUUUUUUUGAACAUCGUUAAAAAUCCCUUAAAUGCUUCCCCAUCAGAUCAGCCAGGUGAAAAAGAGCUUUGUGCAUGACUCUUUCUUCCUAAAACCCUAUUAGGUAACACUGACCACGCCCGUGUGGGUGUGGUCAUUGUUACCUGUGACCUUCGGGCAGUGGACAUAGUACUACCUCAAAUCCUGGUCUCUCCUUAAAAUUCCUCUUUUGGUCUAAAGAGGAUUUAAAUUUAACAGUGGAAGUUAUCUAUAAUUACCAAUCAAAGUUAAAUUACAUAAAAAAAAUCUUUUUUUUUGUUUUUUUUGAACAUCGUUAAUAAUCCCUUAAAUGCUUCCCCUUCAGAUCAGCCAGGUGAAAAAGAGCUUUGUGCAUGACUUUUUCUUCCUAAAACCCUAUUAGGUAACACUGACCACACCCAUGUGGGUGUGGUCAUUGUUACCUGUGACCUUCGGGCAGUGGACAUAGUCAGUCCUACCUCUAAUCCUGGUCUCUACUUAAAUUUCCCCUUUUGGUAUAAAGAGGAUUUAAAUUUAACAGUGGAAGUUAUCUAUAAUUACCAAUCAUAAAUUUAAAUUACAUGAAAAAAAAUCUUUUUGUUUUUUUUUUUGAGACAUGGUUAAUAAUCCCUUAAAAGCUUCCCAUCAGAUCAGCCAGGUGAAUGGGAGCCCUGUGCAUGCCUCUUUCUUCCUGAAACCCUUGUUAGGUAACUCUGAUCACGCCCAUGUGGGUGUGGUCAUUGUUACCUGUGACCUUCGGGAAGUGGACUUGGUGUUACCUCUAAUCCUGGUUUCUCCUUAAAAUUCACCUUUUGAUAUAAAGACGAUUUAAAUUGAACAGUGUAAAAUCUCUAUAGUUACCGAACAUAAAGGUGAAUUACAUAAAGAUAUAAUGGUUUUUUUUUUUUUUUGGUUCUUUGAGUCAAAGUUAAUAAUCCCUUAAUGCUUCCGAGUCAGUUCAGCUAGGUGAAAUAGAGCCUUGUGCAUGCAUCUUUAUUCCUGAAACCCUUGAAAGGUAACUCUGACCACGGUCAUGUUGGUGUGAUCAUUGGUACCUGUGACCUUCGGAAAGUGGACUUAGUCAGUCGUACCUCUAAUACUGGCCUCUACUUAAAAUUCUCCUUUUGGUCUACAUAGGAUUUAAAUUUAACAGUGGAAGUUAUCUAUAAUUACCAAACAUAAAGUUAAAUUACAUGAAACAAAAUCUUUUUUUUUUGUUUUUUUUGAACAUCGUUAAUAAUCCCUUAAAUGCUUCCCCAUCAGAUAAGCCAGGUGAAGGAGAGCCCUGUUCGUGCCUCAUUCUUCCUGAAUCCCUUGUUAGGUAACUCUGACCACGCCCAUGUGGGUGUGGUCAUUGGUACCUGUGACCUUCGGAAAGUGCAUUUAGGCAGUAUAACUCUAAUCCUGGUCGCUACUCAAAAUACCCCUUUCGGUCUAAGUAGGAUUUAAAUUUAACAGUGGAAGUUAUCUAUAAUUACCAAUCACAAAGUUAAAUUACCUGAAAAAAAAAUAUCUUUUUUUGUUUUUUUUUGAUACAUCUUUAAUAAUCCCUUAAAUGCUUCUCCAAAAGAUCACCAGGUGAAACAGACCCUUGUGCAUGACUCUUUCUUCC
Molecule: long non-coding RNA, 5766 nt
Filed under: Cricetulus griseus (Chinese hamster)
Lineage: Eukaryota; Metazoa; Chordata; Mammalia; Rodentia; Cricetidae
Description: lncRNA (ENSCGRG00015037200.1)
Source: RNAcentral